This 504-nucleotide ribosomal RNA is filed under the name Fusarium cf. solani ATS56. Its description in RNAcentral is "eukaryotic LSU rRNA". The stretch from base 122 to 275 matches the Rfam family "5.8S ribosomal RNA". Lineage: Eukaryota; Fungi; Ascomycota; Sordariomycetes; Hypocreales; Nectriaceae. The record is from RNAcentral.
AUACCUAAAACGUUGCUUCGGCGGGAACAGACGGCCCCGUAACACGGGCCGCCCCCGCCAGAGGACCCCCUAACUCUGUUUCUAUUAUGUUUCUUCUGAGUAAAACAAGCAAAUAAAUUAAAACUUUCAACAACGGAUCUCUUGGCUCUGGCAUCGAUGAAGAACGCAGCGAAAUGCGAUAAGUAAUGUGAAUUGCAGAAUUCAGUGAAUCAUCGAAUCUUUGAACGCACAUUGCGCCCGCCAGUAUUCUGGCGGGCAUGCCUGUUCGAGCGUCAUUACAACCCUCAGGCCCCCGGGCCUGGCGUUGGGGAUCGGCGAGGCGCCCCCUGCGGGCACACGCCGUCCCCCAAAUACAGUGGCGGUCCCGCCGCAGCUUCCAUUGCGUAGUAGCUAACACCUCGCAACUGGAGAGCGGCGCGGCCACGCCGUAAAACACCCAACUUCUGAAUGUUGACCUCGAAUCAGGUAGGAAUACCCGCUGAACUUAAGCAUAUCAAUAGGCCG